This 28-nucleotide non-coding RNA is filed under the name Mus musculus (house mouse). Lineage: Eukaryota; Metazoa; Chordata; Mammalia; Rodentia; Muridae. The record is from RNAcentral.
AUAAAGUUGCCAGGAAGUAGGCACAAAG